GAUCAUGGCUCAGAUUGAACGCUGGCGGCAUGCCUUACACAUGCAAGUCGAACGGCAGCACGGGAGCAAUCCUGGUGGCGAGUGGCGAACGGGUGAGUAAUAUAUCGGAACGUGCCCAGUCGUGGGGGAUAACGUAGAGAAAUUUACGCUAAUACCGCAUACGAUCUAAGGAUGAAAGCGGGGGACCGUAAGGCCUCGCGCGAUUGGAGCGGCUGAUAUCAGAUUAGGUUGUUGGUGAGGUAAAAGCUCACCAAGCCGACGAUCUGUAGCUGGUUUGAGAGAACGACCAGCCACACUGGGACUGAGACACGGCCCAGACUCCUACGGGAGGCAGCAGUGGGGAAUUUUGGACAAUGGGCGAAAGCCUGAUCCAGCAAUGCCGCGUGCAGGAAGAAGGCCUUCGGGUUGUAAACUGCUUUUGUACGGAACGAAAAGGUCUGCCCUAAUACGGCGGGCCCAUGACGGUACCGUAAGAAUAAGCACCGGCUAACUACGUG
Molecule: ribosomal RNA, 497 nt
Filed under: uncultured bacterium
Lineage: Bacteria
Description: bacterial SSU rRNA
Rfam family: Bacterial small subunit ribosomal RNA
Source: RNAcentral